Molecule: long non-coding RNA, 657 nt
Filed under: Nicotiana tabacum (common tobacco)
Lineage: Eukaryota; Viridiplantae; Streptophyta; Magnoliopsida; Solanales; Solanaceae
Description: long non-coding RNA (NTAB_LNC011563)
Source: RNAcentral
GCCGCCUUUGCCUUGUCAAAACUCGCCGAUGCCGCCGCCGUUACCUUCUCCAUCUUCUUGCCGCUGCUUUUUCCUUUGCCGCCAUCAUCUUCAUAUCCGACGUCGUUUUGACUGCCCCACUGAUCCGCCCAACUAUUUCCGUUACUUCCCAUUCUUGACAAAAAAAAUUGAAUCUUUAACAACCAAUCACCAAUAAUAAAGUUUGAAUCUUUAACAACCAAUAAUAAAGUUUGAAUCUUUAACAACCAAUCAAACAAAAGUUGGAAUAUGUAGCAACUAAAACAAGAAAAAACUACAAUUUUUGGCAAAAAAAAAACAACAAAAGGUGCAAUCUUUGGCAACCAGACACAAUAAAUUUACAAUCUUCUUGUUUUGGAUCAGUCAAUAAAAUUAGAAUCUUUGGCAACCAAAAAGAGUAAAAAGUGCAAACAGAAGAGAAGAUUUUACCAGAGAGAUUGGUGGUGGGAAGUGAUGGGUUGCAAGAUUUUAAGCUGCUGUAGAGAGAAACUGUUUUUGUGAAUUUGAUAUAGGUGAACACAGCCCAAUUUGUAAGAAAUGUUUUUGUGAUUUUGAUAUAUGUGAACAGAAUAUGAAGGGACCAAUGUAAGAAAGGAAUUUAAGGCAGUUAGCUAAUGUAAAUAGUAAUCUCAUUGGGAU